UUGUUUGAGACAACAGAUAUAAGUUGCGAUGGGAGAGGAGCGUCGGAUUUGGUGUGUAUCCCCCACUUCCAAUUAUAGAUGGAUCAUUACAGACAGCGGAGUCCUGAGAAGCCAGACAUCUGCUCCUCACAUGAAUGCACUCACCUCCUAGAAACCAGGCUGCCAUCAUGCUCUGGAAACUCGUGGAGAAUGUCAAGUACGAAGACAUCUAUGAGGACCGGCACGAUGGCGUCCCAAGCCAUAGCUCCAGACUGUCUCAGCUGGGCUCUGUGUCCCAAGGACCCUACUCGAGCGCCCCGCCGCUGUCCCACACACCAUCAUCGGACUUCCAGCCACCCUACUUCCCGCCCCCCUACCAGCCGCUACCCUACCACCAGAGUCAAGACCCCUACUCCCACGUGAACGACCCCUACUCCCUGAACCCUUUGCAUCAACCCCAGCAGCACCCCUGGGGACAACGACAGCGCCAAGAAGUAGGUUCAGAAGCCGGCUCUCUCCUGCCCCAGCCCCGGGCGGCCUUGCCCCAGCUCUCGGGCCUUGACCCCCGAAGGGACUACCACUCUGUCCGCCGGCCGGACGUGCUGCUACAUUCGGCACACCACGGCCUGGACGCCGGCAUGGGCGACAGCCUCUCGUUGCACGGUCUUGGGCAUCCCGGCAUGGAAGAUGUGCAGUCAGUUGAAGAUGCCAAUAACAGCGGCAUGAACCUAUUGGACCAGUCAGUCAUUAAAAAAGUUCCUGUCCCUCCCAAAUCUGUGACUUCUCUAAUGAUGAAUAAAGAUGGCUUCUUGGGAGGAAUGUCAGUCAACACCGGCGAGGUAUUUUGCUCAGUCCCAGGCCGUUUAUCUCUACUCAGUUCAACUUCAAAAUACAAAGUGACUGUGGGAGAAGUUCAGAGACGGCUCUCGCCCCCUGAAUGCCUCAAUGCGUCUCUCCUUGGCGGCGUCCUCAGAAGAGCCAAAUCGAAAAAUGGGGGGAGAUCCUUGAGAGAAAGGCUAGAAAAAAUCGGUUUGAAUUUACCCGCGGGCAGGCGCAAAGCAGCAAAUGUCACGUUACUCACCUCCCUGGUGGAAGGGGAAGCUGUUCACUUAGCUCGGGAUUUUGGGUAUAUUUGCGAAACAGAGUUUCCUGCUAAAGCCGUGUCUGAGUAUUUGAACAGACAGCACACGGACCCCAGUGACCUGCAUUCCAGAAAGAAUAUGCUGCUGGCCACCAAGCAACUUUGUAAAGAAUUUACGGAUCUGCUGGCGCAGGACAGGACCCCGAUCGGCAACAGCCGGCCCAGCCCCAUCCUGGAGCCCGGCAUCCAAAGCUGCCUCACGCAUUUCAGUCUCAUCACGCACGGCUUCGGCGCCCCGGCCAUUUGCGCUGCGCUCACGGCCCUGCAGAACUAUCUCACCGAGGCGCUCAAAGGCAUGGACAAGAUGUUCUUGAACAACACCACUAACAGGCACACGUCUGGGGAAGGCCCAGGUAGUAAAACUGGCGACAAGGAGGAGAAACACAGGAAAUGAAAAAAAAAAAAAAAUUAAAGAGAAGGAAAAUGUUUUAAAUACAAAAGGAAAACAGAAAAAAAAUAAUUUUAGCUUUAACAUAUUGGAUUGGCUUUGGAAGAAUUAUAUUAGGUAGAAUACACAUACAAUCAAAAUUUAAAAAAAGAAAGCUAAAUAACUUUUAAAAAAAUAAACUGAGGCAUACAACGGAGCAACAAACCGGCUCUCGGUGUCUAUUUCAAGAUACACAUGGAGACAACCGUCCGGAUUUUCCACUUCGGUUCUUUCGAGCUUAGUAAUACAGAUAAUAAAAGAAAACUAUGAAACCCCCUUUUGGAAAAUAAACAUGAGACGAAACAUGAGAACACGCUAACUUAUUGGAAGAAAAUUGGAGAAACGUUGGUGUCAAUGCUUUGAGAGCUGGUUGACUGAGACGCACGAACUUUUAAAUUUAAUUUUUUUUUUAAAGGAAACUCUCGCAGUCCGCGCGCUCCAUUUCUCCUCACCCUUCUCUCCGCUGCUUCCCUUUCCCCCCUCCUCACACGGUUCCGGGAAUCUGCCGGGUGAUCCCCAGUGUGAUUAGUUCAUUGGCGUUGCGUUUGUCCCUUUGGUGUCCAGACCUCGCCUUGUUCCCAACUCCCCGGUGCCCAACUCCCCACGGUGUGUUUAAUUAGGGAGGCGUGGAGGGGGAAGGGGGUGAGGAGAGGCUCUAGCGUUUGAUCUGGUCUUGAGAGCCGAGGUUCCCGCGGCAGAGGAAACCCAGGCCGAUAAGUUGAUUCAUCAUGGUUCCUUUCAGAAAAUGUUACUAGUUCCCAGACUUGCCAGCACCUGUUCACAGAGAAUAUUAUAUUCGUUAUACUUGUGUCAACUAGAAGUAUAGUUUAAAAAAAAAAGAAAGAAAACAAAACACGAAUACUUUGAUUAGUAUGUAAUUCCUUCGGAGGGGUAUGUACCAUUUCAUUUUCUUCUGUUUCCCAAAGCUUUACCCGCAUGGUUUAUGAGCUUCUUCAAAGAAGACUUGGGCUUCCUACACAAUCUAUAAGGGCAACGCGCCCCACGCGUGUGACAUCGAGAGACGCGAUGGAUGCGCCUUGCUCUUACUGUGCAGGUCCUGGGAACAUGGGGGCCACUGGAGCCCAGUGGUGUUGAGGACAUAGAAUCAGCAGCUGCUGGGGUCGCGAGCCGCGCGGGCCCUUCCUGCUCUGGGUCUCACCCUAAGGGCUAAGGCCACCGAGAAAGGCCAGUUCCCGAGUAGGUAAAGGGGCGGUGCCCCACUGGCUGCUUGGGGGGAGGGGUCCCAGAGCUCUGUAAAGUCCUUUGGCCGCUAGCAGUCAGAGACAUUGUGGCCUGGAAAAGUCCAUGGAAUUUGAAACUUCCACGUGUUCUUUCUGCCAGGAAGGAAAUUGUCUCUACCCUCACUCUCUUGAAGUGUAGGCAUGAAAUAAGGUAGGCUCUCUUAGGCGCCCAGCUCUCCGUGUGAGCAGAGCGGGAAGGUGCAGCUAGAUAAACUCGGCUGGCCCUCCCCACUAACCCCACCUCGCCUCCGGGGGUGAGUCCUCAGUUUCUGCUUUUUCCUUUCUUCAUUUUUUUUCACACCGGACCUCCAACCCCUUGCUUUCCUUAGCCAAGCCAGCUCCGUUUAUCUGGUAAUUGAGUUAUUAAAAGAUUUGGUUUCCUUGGGCUUAUAAAUCAAUAAACAGUAGGAUUAACACAAGAGUUGGCCUUUUAAGUCAAGGAAAACGUUUAAGACCAGACCCUUUGAGUCUUGUUUUCAAACCAAACAGGUGACUUGCAGUGCCCUCCUCUCCCCUGCACUCUGUAAGUUUUAUGCCCUACUAAGUCCUGGGGUUCCAAACCAAAAUAGCUAAAGACUGUAGAGGGAGCCUGCAGCGGAGUUCCCUGGAGAUUCUUCCAGGCCCUGCUUAGCGAAUCCUGCCUUCUCCUACUUGCAUUCUCUGUUUCAUGGAGUUUGUUUCCAGGUGAGGAUUCCAUCUCCAGGGACCGGUUAACUUCCACCCCAACUAGGAAAUACUUUUCUUCUCUCUCUUACCGCGACGUAUCUUGCAUUUUCUUCCAUCUACUCUACCUCCUCACCCCUAGCUUUCUCCCCCCCUCCCCCCCAUAUAAAGAGCCCAAGAGGCUUUCAAAGAUCCCAUGUUUGUUUUCAUUGGCCAAGGAAACCACUUUCUCUUAAGCAAUUAUUUCAUACCCUAUGAAAACUUUGGUCGAAUGGAAAACCCCAAACCCCUAACUUAUCUACAUACUUCUUCCUUGGGUAAAAGACUCAUCCCUAGUUAGAGUUGAGUCAUUUGAUAUCCUGUCCUUGCAAUACUUUAUGUGGAAAGGAAAUGAUGACCUUAAACCAUUCAACACUGCCUCAAGAGCUUCCACAGCGUUUCCCUCUUUUGCUGAAGUAUAUUAAAUUAUUGGUGAAAGAAAAGAGAAGUAUUGAAAUUCAUUCAUUUUUUUUUAAGGAAAAAAAAAACGGAGUGAACACCAUUUCUUCUUUAAAUGUCAAAAUUGAUUCCCCUUUUGAGUUGGUCUCUAAUUCACUAACAUUAUUUUUACCACCCAGUCAAGAAAUACCAACGGCCUCUUCUUGAGAGCACUCUGGAGGGUAUCCGUGUUAAGUUUGUAUAUAUUUAUUUAUGCUUAAUUUAAUGGGAAUGUGUAAAUAUGAUGAACAAGUAGUUUGGGAUUAUUUAUCUGUGAAUCUAUACCUCUGUGAAUGGGUGGUUAAAAAGAAAAACCGCUUGACCCUAGGUAGACUCCUAUCUGAAUUUUUCUGUUCUUUAUAGACAAGCUGUUAUGGUAUUGGGUAGAAAUUGGUUUAUUGUCCAGUGUUAAUCUGAUUUACAUAAAUAAAAAGAUUGUUGUGUUUU
RNA transcript from Peromyscus eremicus (cactus mouse), 4375 nucleotides. It is a transcript of the gene named transcription factor AP-2 beta, with no coding region annotated. The transcript has 8 exons. The record is from RefSeq and is a predicted model, not a curated record. Lineage: Eukaryota; Metazoa; Chordata; Mammalia; Rodentia; Cricetidae.